GACUUCAUGGCCCAAUUGAUAAAGUGCUGGUCUACGAAACCAGAGAUUUUGGGUUCGAUCCCUAGUGGAGUCG
Molecule: transfer RNA, 73 nt
Filed under: Ipomoea nil (Japanese morning glory)
Lineage: Eukaryota; Viridiplantae; Streptophyta; Magnoliopsida; Solanales; Convolvulaceae
Rfam family: tRNA
About the family: Transfer RNA (tRNA) molecules are approximately 80 nucleotides in length. Their secondary structure includes four short double-helical elements and three loops (D, anti-codon, and T loops). Further hydrogen bonds mediate the characteristic L-shaped molecular structure. tRNAs have two regions of fundamental functional importance: the anti-codon, which is responsible for specific mRNA codon recognition, and the 3' end, to which the tRNAs corresponding amino acid is attached (by aminoacyl-tRNA synthetases). tRNAs cope with the degeneracy of the genetic code in two manners: having more than one tRNA (with a specific anti-codon) for a particular amino acid; and 'wobble' base-pairing, i.e. permitting non-standard base-pairing at the 3rd anti-codon position.
Source: Rfam by way of RNAcentral